CUUUUUUCUUGCUGUCAAACACUGCCUGGUAAAUGCAUAACUCGUGUGAUGUUGGCUUUGUGCACUGAUUGAUUUGUAAAAGCUAUUCCAUCCCAAAUCACCAGCUCUUUGGGUCUCAGCCUACAACCCUACUCAGCCAGGAGACUCUGUCCUCUAGGCGUUUGGCAGCAGGCUCAUGCUCGAGCGUGGAAGUCCUCAAUUUCUACAGGACAAACAAGUAUGUGCUCUGACAGUCCCCUCUUCUCAUCAUGCCAUGGAUAUAUUUAACAGAAGAAAACCCAUUGGAUUUGUUGUCUGCUCUGUGGUGAUGAUGGGAUCACUUUAGCUUUGCUAAAUGCUGCUCUGAAGCAAGUCAAGAGGGAGAACAAGUCUUAUAAAGAGCAGGUCACAACAUGCACAAGGAUUUUUGAAGAAUCUGGGUAUUAUAGGGUUUUUUCAAGUUGGGCUCCUUCUCAUGUUCUAGAGCACAGUAACAAGACAACCAGAUGUAAAUGAGCUCUUGAUUUCAUUUUGAGAUGACAAAGAUAAUUAAAUGCCAGGAAAAAGCUUCUCCUCUGCUGCCAUUUAUUGAAAAUUUUACAUUUUCUUGAAUGUGUCCUUUAGGUGAUUAAUA
Long non-coding RNA from Passer domesticus (house sparrow), 613 nucleotides. RefSeq lists it as uncharacterized. The transcript has 3 exons. The record is from RefSeq and is a predicted model, not a curated record. NCBI's taxonomy places the organism in Eukaryota, Metazoa, Chordata, Aves, Passeriformes, Passeridae.